RNAcentral lists this ribosomal RNA (366 nucleotides) under uncultured bacterium. RNAcentral describes it as "bacterial SSU rRNA". It matches the Rfam family "Bacterial small subunit ribosomal RNA", at positions 28 to 407 of the family's 1533-position model. The record is from RNAcentral.
GACGAACGCUUGCGGCGUGCCUAAUGUAUGCAAGUCGAGCGGGGAGCAAUCCCAGCGGCGAACGGUUGAGUAACACGUAGGCAACCUGCCGCGAAGUGGGGGACAACCCAUGGAAACGUGGGCUAAUACCGCAUGUGGCCCGGUGUCGCCUGGCAUCGGUGCUAAAGGAGUAAUCCGCUUCGCGAGGGGCCUGCGGCCUAUCAGCUUGUUGGUGAGGUAACGGCUCACCAAGGCGACGACGGGUAGCUGGUCUGAGAGGAUGAUCAGCCAGACAGGGACUGAGACACGGCCCUGACUCCUUUGGGGGCAGCAAUGAGGGAUAUUGCACAAUGGGCGAAAGCCUGAUGCAGCGACGCCGCGUGGGCG